Molecule: small nuclear RNA, 107 nt
Organism: Marmota marmota marmota (Alpine marmot)
Lineage: Eukaryota; Metazoa; Chordata; Mammalia; Rodentia; Sciuridae
Source: Ensembl
GUGCUCGCUUCGGCAGCACAUUUACAAAAAUUGGAACAAUACAGAGAAGAUUAGCAUGACCCCUGCGCAAAGAUAAUAGGCGCAUUAGUGAAGCAUUCCAUAUUAAA